CCCUUAGAUGUCCGGGGCCGCACGCGCGCUACACUGAAGGAGUCAGCGUGGCUUUCUCCCUGACCCGAAAGGGUUGGGAAACCCGUUGAAUCUCCUUCGUGAUAGGGAUUGGGGCUUGAAAUUGUUCCCCAUGAACGAGGAAUUCCUAGUAAGCGCAAGUCAGCAGCUUGCGUUGAUUACGUCCCUGCCCUUUGUACACACCGCCCGUCGCUACUACCGAUUGAAUGGUUUAGUGAGAUCUUCGGAUUGGCGCCACUGCGGCUCAGCAAUGGGCUCGGUGGAUGCCGAAAAGUUGAUCAAACUUGAUCAUUUAGAGGAAGUAAAAGUCGUAACA
This 334-nucleotide ribosomal RNA is filed under the name uncultured eukaryote. RNAcentral describes it as "partial 18S ribosomal RNA". It matches the Rfam family "Eukaryotic small subunit ribosomal RNA", at positions 1470 to 1796 of the family's 1831-position model. The record is from RNAcentral.